RNAcentral lists this non-coding RNA (110 nucleotides) under Pseudo-nitzschia pungens. Lineage: Eukaryota; Bacillariophyta; Bacillariophyceae; Bacillariales; Bacillariaceae. The record is from RNAcentral.
UAAAAAGAUGGAGAGACAAACAACAAACAGAGAGAGACAGGUAGACGGCCAGUAUUGUUAUUGUUAUUGUUAUUGUUAUUAUUACUAUUAUUAUUAUUUCAUUCCUUCAU